ACAAUGUUAACAUUACAUGAUCAGUUCGAUACAUUACAGAAUUACAUUCAAAUGAAUCAACAUGUGCUAUCUGAGUUAAAUUUGUCGAAUGAAAAAUUGAAUGAUAUUUCCGCCAUUGCAUAUCUUUGUGGUUACGUGGGAAAACUUACAGUUUUUAUAUUGAAAAUUUAUCUAUUUUUAAAAAAAUAAAUAGAAAGAGGUAAAAUUACAUCCUGCUCCGUACCGUGAUACAUAUUAUUGAGUUGAAUUAAGCUUUAUGUAUGUACAAAUGCGAUCUGUAAAAUAACAAACA
This is a long non-coding RNA of Camponotus floridanus (Florida carpenter ant), 292 nucleotides long. RefSeq lists it as uncharacterized. Lineage: Eukaryota; Metazoa; Arthropoda; Insecta; Hymenoptera; Formicidae. The record is from RefSeq and is a predicted model, not a curated record. The transcript is spliced from 3 exons.